GUCACUUUGGCGGAGUGGUUAACGCGCUGCCCUGCUAUGUACACUAACUACCAGCUGGUGGGUUUAGCGGAUCAAGGCAGUUCCCUCGGGAGCGUAGGUUCGAAUCCUACAGGUGACG
Non-coding RNA from Echria macrotheca, 118 nucleotides. NCBI's taxonomy places the organism in Eukaryota, Fungi, Ascomycota, Sordariomycetes, Sordariales, Schizotheciaceae. The record is from the annotation of a GenBank genome assembly.